AUACAGAGGGUGCGAGCGUUAAUCGGAAUUACUGGGCGUAAAGCGCGCGUAGGCGGUCUAUUAAGUCAGAUGUGAAAUCCCAGGGCUCAACCUUGGAACUGCAUCUGAUACUGGUAGACUAGAGUUUUGGAGAGGGAAGUAGAAUUUCAGGUGUAGCGGUGAAAUGCAUAGAGAUCUGAAGGAAUACCAGUGGCGAAGGCGACUUCCUGGCCAAAAACUGACGCUGAGGUGCAAAAGCGUGGGUAGCAAACGGGAUUAGAAACCCUAGUAGUCC
This 274-nucleotide ribosomal RNA is filed under the name uncultured bacterium. Its description in RNAcentral is "partial 16S ribosomal RNA". It matches the Rfam family "Bacterial small subunit ribosomal RNA", at positions 523 to 796 of the family's 1533-position model. The record is from RNAcentral.